Molecule: long non-coding RNA, 902 nt
Filed under: Medicago truncatula (barrel medic)
Lineage: Eukaryota; Viridiplantae; Streptophyta; Magnoliopsida; Fabales; Fabaceae
Description: lncRNA gene27676
Source: RNAcentral
AAUCAAGUUGAACAACUAAGUACCAAAUCCUUUUUAAGGCACAAGACCAACACUUACAAGUACGAUUGAAUUCCCUGAUAGUAUCUAAUUGGUAAUGGCAGUGGCACUCGAAAAAGGUGCGCAUAAAUAGACCAUUUUCAAGGCAGUGAAAACAACAAUAGCAAUGUCCAUUUAGCAGUUGACUGAUUCUUACCCCAAUUACGAGCAACUGACUUUGACUUUUCAAGAAGUUCAUAUGCCAACCCAUUUCUGUGCAACUCUCUAGCAACACAUACAUUACUAAGGUACGCCCUUGUAGUAUCAGCUCCACUAACCUGACAGUAAAACAUUAUACAAUUUGAUGGAGGAAGCAUUGAACAAAUUAGUCACCAUAGAAGAGUUAUCAAUUUUCAUAUCAAAAGUCAAAACUUGAUCAUCCAAAACAAGCUUAAGGGCCUGUAUGGAUUGAAUUAUUUGAACUUAUCUACUAUAAGCACUUAUGAAACUAUUUGGGAGAGCUUAUGAAAAUGAUUUAUGAAGUGUUCAUGACUUGAUUUCAGCUUAUUUCCAUAAGCUCUCCAUGACAACUUAUGUAAACAACUUAUAGUUUAUAUGAAAACAGUUGAUUUUAUUUCAUCCUUUGUUAUAAAAAUGGCUUAUAAAUAAGCACUUAUACAAUAAGCGUUUGUCAUUUAUCCGGACAGAACAUAAACACACGUACAACUUAUAGACUUAGAAAUCUAGAAUGUUUGAAAAAUACCUCUGGCUUCAUUCCUACAAUUUCAUCAGGAAGACUCAAGCACUGAUUAAGAUCAAGAGAACCAACUACAACCCUGUCUUCUCCACUAGCAGAAUACUAAAAAAUUUCAAUAAAAACAAAGUCAAUUUUGUUAUUAAGAAACAAUAAACCAAAGACCGAUAAA